CACUCUAAUGAGACUGCCGGUGACAAACCGGAGGAAGGUGGGGAUGACGUCAAGUCCUCAUGGCCCUUAUAGGUGGGGCUACACACGUCAUACAAUGGCUGGUACAAAGGGUUGCCAACCCGCGAGGGGGAGCCAAUCCCAUAAAGCCAGUCGUAGUCCGGAUCGCAGUCUGCAACUCGACUGCGUGAAGUCGGAAUCGCUAGUAAUCGUGGAUCAGCAUGUCACGGUGAAUACGUUCCCGGGUCUU
RNAcentral lists this ribosomal RNA (247 nucleotides) under uncultured Variovorax sp. RNAcentral describes it as "partial 16S ribosomal RNA". It matches the Rfam family "Bacterial small subunit ribosomal RNA", at positions 1136 to 1382 of the family's 1533-position model. Lineage: Bacteria; Pseudomonadati; Pseudomonadota; Betaproteobacteria; Burkholderiales; Comamonadaceae. The record is from RNAcentral.